This 3455-nucleotide long non-coding RNA is filed under the name Nicotiana tabacum (common tobacco). RNAcentral describes it as "long non-coding RNA (NTAB_LNC000350)". The record is from RNAcentral. Lineage: Eukaryota; Viridiplantae; Streptophyta; Magnoliopsida; Solanales; Solanaceae.
UUUUUUUUGGAACUUAUUCAAAAUCCACACUCCAGAUGUCCGACCAUGUCUUCGUGGAGACUAUAUAUAUAUAAAAAAACGCAAAAGCAAUUAAGCAAAAAUAUACCUAUAUAUUUACAACUCUAGGAAAUGAUUUUAACAUGAAAGUAUACGAGGAAUAUUGAGCCAGGGCAUCAUGCCAAGAAUGGUAACAGUGCAGCAUGAUUUCAAGGCAACAUUCUUGAGAGUCCAUUCAAGAGGUUCAAUGGAGAAUUCUUUUAAUGCAUCCAUAACUAUAAGCACAUGUUUAGGAACAUCUGAUGACCCCAUGAGUGUCAGUUGAAAGUUGAAAUGUAUUUUCUUCCCCAAGUUGUUCUCUUCUAUAUUAGUAGCCAUGGCCUCCAUUUUAAUUAUUUCUUUUCUUUUUUUUUUUUUGAAGGAGAACGGAAGGGAUUUGCUCAAGGGCUUUCAGAUAGUUAUAUAGAAGUUUUCAGGAGCUGAAGAAGAGGAAGAAUGAAACAGGAAUAUAAUUUGUUCGAUGUUAACAAGAAAUGCUUUAUAAAACCUAUGAUGUAAAAGAACAUCAUGCAAAGAAGCCAAAUAAGUUGCCUGGUUUGAGGUGAUCUCCUUUCUCUUUGUUUAUUGGAGAUUCUUGGAUCCCAACUCUUUCUUACGACAAGCUCAAAAAUAACUCUGAACUAAGCACGUAUUUUACUCCUAAAACAAAUCUAACACAUAGGAAAGCUCCAUUGGUUUUCUGCAUUCUAAAGAGGUUACAUCUUUUUUAUUAGUGGUUUCUUUUGCACAACCAGUAAUUUGAAGUUACAAUUAUUUUUUGUCUCAAAAUUCUAAAACUUGAUUAUUCAAAUAUUCAAGUUUUAGAUAUUAACCACAAGUAGGCAUUCUGGUUUUGAAAGCGCGAGAUUUGGACAACUUUAAGUUUUAAAAAAACUCCUAACUUUACUCAAAGACUAAUUAGAUAUUGAGAAUUUGUGUCAACUAGUUUGGAAUUAAUUUAUGAAAUUUAACAAAAUUUAUGAAUGAAUAAAUUAGUGGCACUUAUGUAGUACAGAAAUUAAAAGUUCCUACAAAAUCUCGCUAGGUAUAUAAGAGAUUAUAAUUCUCAACUGUGAGAAUAUAACAUAAAACUCUUACUCUGCACUAUACAGUGGAACUCGGAAAUAUAAACAACAAAAUAACAGCUGCUAUUAUCUAAAAACUACCCCUCAUGUUUGUUUGAGGAUACAGAUCAAGACCCUAUUCCAUUGGUUCAGAUUUUCCAGUUAAAAAUUUCAUGAGAUACCAAAAUUAUUAGUGUUAUUGCCAAAUGUAACCUGCUCAUCUUAGGCUUCCAGCCGUUACAGUACGAAACACAGAGCCAAGGCUAGACCUCCGGCGACCGGUAGAACUACUAUCAUCUCUACUUGGAGAUACAUCCAUUCUUCUCCUUUUCUUGUUAACAGAACUUCCACUGUGUGACCCGCCCAUUGCAGCUAGUAAUUGCUGGGCUCUAGACCCACGCAUGCUUUUCUUUAUCAGGGUACACGCCUGCUUUCUUUCCAUAUUCUGCUCUAGCUCCUUCGGCAGUUGCUUUUUGCAGGAAACCCAGUCUGCUGUUCUUAGAUGAGGACGGGGAAUAUGGUAAUCAUUUUUUGCAAAUGAAAACCAAUGAUCUCGCACCAGCUUCUCUAUAUUCACUAUAGGCAACAAGUCUAUAAAAAAAAAUAGAAGUGCAAGAUGAGUUUACCUGGGGGAUCUUCCCGAUAUAUCUCUGGGCUCGGAGAUCUAGACGGCGUUUUGGGUGUGAUAUAUAUAGUUCUGCUAGGUGCACCGGGGUCCAGAGUACUGCAGUUUUCUUUGAGUAUUGAAGGAAAAGACACUUUAUCCACUUCAGGUGACUUGGGAUGCAAAAUGUUACUUGCACCAUGUGGUCCAGGAGCAGACCUCGUCUGCACAUUUUCCUUUCCGUCACUAUCCUGAACCUUGUUGAGAGAAUUGGGAGAUAACUCAUUUGCAGCAUCAUUGGAGCCUUUGACACAUAAAGCCCGCGGAUUUGGCGGACGCGGAGAAGUAACACAGACAACAUCUGUAUUAUCUAAAACUGACUUGGGAGAGGUGUUCAGUAUGGACGGAUCUAUAAAGGGCUUUUGCACUUCAAUAAAAUCUGAAAACCAGGGAGUGCCCCUCUUUGCAUAAAACAGAACAUAUGCUUCCUGCGACAAAACAAAAUCUUCUCCAACCUGAAUAACCUAUAAGUUUAAACAAAUAUCAAGUCAGUUCAUCAUAAUCGCUUGUGCUACCCUUUAUGCCAGGAGAAUUGCAGAGUACUCUAACAAAAAUAAGCAUUGACGAAACGAUAUUGAAUGCAGCACAAAAACAAAAUGGUUUCUGAGUUAGAGGCACCAGACUAUUGAGAAACAGAUUAAUCCUACAGUAAAAUCAUUAAGGGGUCAUUUGGUUGGAAAGAAGUUAUCCCAGUAUUAAUUAUACGGGGAUUAAUUAUCCCGGUAUUAGUUAUUUCACCUUUCCAUGGGAAUAAAAAAACACUGCAAUCCCCGGAUAACUAAUCAUGGGAUUAAUUAUACCGUAAUUUUUUCCCAACCAAACAUGGGAUAAACUUUUAUUAAAUUUAGUCCCGGGAUUAAUUAUUCCUUAUCCCCCUACCAAACGAGCCCUAAAAGAAAGUAGGAAGCUUGAUUUGCAGUAUAUUACAUACCUUUGAGUCAUCAAAUUUGUACCAUUCAUUUGGAGCAGAGCGAAUAAAGCUGUAAUAGUGCCCAGAAGUGUAUGAAAAUCCUACAUGCCUUAUAACUGCAUAAAGAUCGUACUUCAUUUCUUCCUGUGCACCGGAAGGAAAAUUAAAAAUCAUAUACAGUUCCAGUUAAUAAAGAUUAAGCAAAAAGAAAGAAAGAUCUUAAAUUAAAAAUAUUAUAGUGAAUUUGUACACAACAUUUUCCCUGCUUAGACUCCAUUUCCUAUCUAAUAUAAACAAAGGAGGAAAAUUUAAAUUCAUUUUGAUAAAAUACUUCUCCCAAGCUAUUAGCUACAAGCCCUCCAAAAUUCCUUUGCAACAAAAUAUAUAUAUAUUGUAAGAAUCCCAGAAAUUUCAGCUACUAAACUUAAGUAUGCAGGAAAAGUUUACCUCUAAAACUUUUUUUUUCUCAGGAACUAUACUAGUAUAUAUUUAAGCACUAGUAAUUACUCUUCAUCAACUUCUUUACCAGACAAAAAAAAUUCACUUUAUUUCAUCUUUUUAGACUCCUAAAAAGAAAAGAAUCCCUGCAACACUAAUUCCUAGCAUAGACUCAGAGUAACAGGAACUCACAUUAUCACUUUGGUUGUUAUCAGCAUAAGCAUGCAAGUCCAAUUCCAGUGGAAAUGAAACAUAUUUGUCAAUCUUCUCAACAAGAGAACCAUCAGUUUUGAAUCUCUUCAAAUGAAGGGCAGCAACAGAAGGGGCCUUAUCCAGCACAAGC